Molecule: ribosomal RNA, 426 nt
Filed under: uncultured beta proteobacterium
Lineage: Bacteria; Pseudomonadati; Pseudomonadota; Betaproteobacteria
Description: bacterial SSU rRNA
Rfam family: Bacterial small subunit ribosomal RNA
Source: RNAcentral
GGGGAAUUUUGGACAAUGGGGGCAACCCUGAUCCAGCCAUGCCGCGUGAGUGAAGAAGGCCUUCGGGUUGUAAAGCUCUUUCGGACGGAAAGAAAACGGAUGGGUUAAUACCCUGUUCGGAUGACGGUACCGUCAUAAGAAGCACCGGCUAACUACGUGCCAGCAGCCGCGGUAAUACGUAGGGUGCGAGCGUUAAUCGGAAUUACUGGGCGUAAAGCGUGCGCAGGCGGUUGAUUAAGACAGGCGUGAAAUCCCCGGGCUUAACCUGGGAAAGGCGCUUGGGAAUGGUAGGGUAGAGUACGGCAGAGGGGGGUUGAAUUCCACGUGGAGCAGUGAAAUGCGUAGAGAUGUGGAGGAACACCGAUGGCGAAGGCAGCCCCCUGGGGCGAUACUGACGCUCAUGCACGAAAGCGUGGGGAGCAAACA